RNAcentral lists this long non-coding RNA (598 nucleotides) under Fukomys damarensis (Damara mole-rat). RNAcentral's name for it is "lncRNA (ENSFDAG00000028896.1)". The record is from RNAcentral. Lineage: Eukaryota; Metazoa; Chordata; Mammalia; Rodentia; Bathyergidae.
CUCGGCUCACUCAUCAGAGACUGCUAUUUCCAGCUGCACUGCAAGCUCUCCCACAGUUUAAUUCUUUGCUUAUUUUUUUUAGAAAUCCUCCGUCCAAGCACCACAGUGAUGUGCCAAAAUUAUGAUGAUGACUUCACACCUCAGCGAAUUCACAUCUGCAAGGAGAGAGAACAAUUUGCAACUGAAUCCAGCCUCACUCAUGCGAUCCCCAAAUUUCUCCUUGGUUAUCAGCCACUCUGGAGACUGCUGGAGAGGUCCAGAUCCUUCUGAAGUAUGAAGGGAGGAUCCCAGGAGAAAGAGCUGAACGAGACAUAUGUGGCAAUUAGACAAUCGAUACACUUGAAUCCAAGAAGUUGACUGCUGAGUUGGAGUAGCUGCUGUGCUCUGAUCAAACCCACGUAAGUGACCAUUGGCAAACAAGAUGACAUCUUUGCAGCAGCGUGGAGCCUUGAUUUCCAGGCAGAGUAGUGAGACUGCUCCCACCAGCUCUCACAGGGCAACAUGAAAGACCCAGGAUUGGAGGGUGUUCCUACUAGGAAGUGAUCAUCUUGGGGUGUCUGUGCAGCUUUUUUCUAUAUGUAAUUUUUCAUAAUCAGCA